RNAcentral lists this transfer RNA (82 nucleotides) under Puniceicoccales bacterium. Its description in RNAcentral is "tRNA-Leu". It matches the Rfam family "tRNA". From Rfam's summary of the family: Transfer RNA (tRNA) molecules are approximately 80 nucleotides in length. The record is from RNAcentral. Lineage: Bacteria; Pseudomonadati; Verrucomicrobiota; Opitutia; Puniceicoccales.
GCUCAGGUGGUGGAAUCGGUAGACACACACGUUUGAGGGGCGUGUGCCGCAAGGCGUAUGGGUUCGAGUCCCAUCUUGAGCA